CCUACGGGGGGCAGCAGUGGAGAAUAUUGGACAAUGGGCGCAAGUCUGACCCUGCGACGCCGCGUGGAGGAAGGAAGCUCUCUGGAUUGUAAACUCCUGUUAUGUGGGAGAAAAUCAAAAAGAUAGUAUCACAUUAGGAACAGCUGGCUAAUUCUGAGCCAGCAGCCGCGGUAAUACAGAGGUUUCAAGCGUUGUUCGGAAUGACUGGGCGUAAAGUGUGCGUAGGCGGUUUGGUAAGUCGUGUGUGAAAGGCGCGGGCUCAACCCUCGAACUGCAUAUGAUACUGCGUGACUAGAGAAUAGGAGAGGUAGGCGGAAUUCAUGGUGUAGCGGUGAAAUGCGUAGAGAUCAGGAAGAACACUGAUGGCGAAGGCAGAUUACUGGACGAUAACUGACGCUGAGGCACGAAAGCGUGGGGAGCAAACAGGAUUAGAUACCCCUGUAGUC
Molecule: ribosomal RNA, 446 nt
Filed under: uncultured bacterium
Lineage: Bacteria
Description: partial 16S ribosomal RNA
Rfam family: Bacterial small subunit ribosomal RNA
Source: RNAcentral